GACGAACGCUGGCGGCGUGCUUAACACAUGCAAGUCGAACGGAAAGGCCCUGCUUUUGUUGGGUGCUCGAUUGGCGAACGGGUGAGUAACACGUGAGUAACCUGCCCUUGACUUUGUGAUAACUUCAGGAAACUGGGGCUAAUACCGGAUAGGAGCUCCUGCUGCAUGGUGGGGGUUGGAGAGUUUCGGCGGUUGGGGAUGGACUCGCGGCUUAUCAGCUUGUUGGUGGGGUAGUGGCUUACCAAGGCUUUGACGGGUAGCCGGCCUGAGAGGGUGACCGGCCACAUUGGGACUGAGAUACGGCCCAGACUCCUACGGGCGGCAGCAGUGGGGAAUCUUGCACAAUGGGCCGACGCCUGAUGCAGCAACGCCGCGUGCGGGAUGACGGCCUUCGGGUUGUAAACCGCUUUCGCCUGUGACGAAGCGUGAGUGACGGUAAUGGGUAAAGAAGCACCGGCUAACUACGUG
This 468-nucleotide ribosomal RNA is filed under the name uncultured bacterium. RNAcentral describes it as "partial 16S ribosomal RNA". It matches the Rfam family "Bacterial small subunit ribosomal RNA", at positions 28 to 507 of the family's 1533-position model. The record is from RNAcentral.